This 371-nucleotide transfer-messenger RNA is filed under the name Nocardioidaceae. RNAcentral describes it as "JABFXA01 sp013361955 Standard tmRNA". It matches the Rfam family "transfer-messenger RNA". Rfam says of the family: Bacterial tmRNA, also known as 10Sa RNA or SsrA, is named for its dual tRNA and mRNA-like properties. Lineage: Bacteria; Bacillati; Actinomycetota; Actinomycetes; Propionibacteriales. RNAcentral also lists the same sequence under 1 other name. The record is from RNAcentral.
GGGGCUGAUCGGUUUCGACUUGGGACGUUCGUCCCAGGGGAAGCGGGUCGAGGAUCCAAGGUCAUCUCGUAAACGAUCCUUGGGAACCAAUAACUGCCAACACCAAGCGCAGUUCGCUCGCUCUCGCCGCCUGACGGCGACUAGCGACGGGUCAGGCUGGGCAUGCCUCCGUCCCAGACCCUGGCCUCAUCAAGGAGGCUUGCUGACGAGCCCGGGCCGCUAGGGCUCGUCGGGACUUCCAAAGCGGCUGAGUCCGUCGGCGACCUGUUCGUGGGAGCGCCGGGACUGAGAAGACGACACCACGGACUGCACCCGGAGAAGCCCUGGCACAGCGCUCGAGGACGCGGGUUCGAUUCCCGCCAGCUCCACCA